UUUUUUGUGUUUAUUUGAUGCGUUGGCGGGAUCCGUGGCUGCCAAACGGGUUGAUAAUCUGGGUGGGACCCUGAGAUGGCCAAUCCCGGAGUCGGCAACAAGUUUGUUUCUGUGAAUCUCAAUAAAUCCUAUGGUCAGCAGCAUUAUCAUCAGCAUCACCAUAAUAAUCAGCAUCAUUCAAGCUCAUAUGGUUCAAACCGCAACCGCCCUGGUGGAGGUGGAGGAGGGAUGUUGGUGCUUUCGCGGCCUCGUAGCUCGCAGAAGGCUGCUGGGCCGAAACUUUCUGUUCCACCCCCCUUAAAUCUGCCAUCGUUGCGGAAAGAGCAUGAGAGGUUUGAUUCGUUGGGAUCAGGUGGGGGUCCUGCUGGAGGUGGUAUGGGAAGUGGGCCUCGCCCUAGCUCUUCAGGUAUGGGCUGGACUAAGCCUGCCACAAUUGCCGUUCAGGAGAAAGAAGGAUUUGGUGUUGGUGGUGAUCAUACAGUUGAUGACACUUGUAAUAAUCAUGGUAUUGAUCAGGGAUUGCCUGGUGUUGUUAAUGGGGUCAGCAAGGGUAGUGGUAGUAGUGUGUAUACUCCUCCCUCUGCUCGGUCGGCGGUGCCUGCAGUUUCUGUUCCUUCCCAGGGUUACCCAGUGACAGAGAAAGUCACAGUUUUAAGGGGUGAGGAUUUCCCUUCAUUGCAGGCUACUUUGCCAGCCACUUCUGGGCCUGAAAAGAAACAGAAAGAUGGUUUGAAUCAGAAACAGAAGCAGUUAUUGGGUGAGGAAUUGGCUAAUGAGCGGAAUAGUUCCCAAUUGAGCACAGUUGUUGAAAUGCGUCCACAAUUGCAGUCAAGGAGUAACAUUAACAAUGGAUUGCAAGAGAGUGGUUCUGAAAUUCGUGGUUGGGAUGGUUCAGGCCUGCCUGAGAAGGACCGAAGGCGGCAAGACUACUUUUCAGGACCAUUGCCUUUAGUUCGGUUGAACCCAAGGUCAGAUUGGGCAGAUGAUGAGCGUGACACAGGACUUGGUUUGGCAGACCGGGGCAGGGAUCAUGGAUUUUCCAAGAGUGAAGCUCGAUGGGAUAUGGAUUUUGAUUUCCCAAGGCCAAGUAUUUUGCCACAGAAACCUGGACAUAAUCUCUUUGACAGGAGAGGACAACAUGACAAUGAAACUGGAAAGAUUUCUUCCAGUGAAGUCACUAAAGUGGAUACUUAUGGGC
Molecule: unclassified non-coding RNA, 1198 nt
Filed under: Hevea brasiliensis (rubber tree)
Lineage: Eukaryota; Viridiplantae; Streptophyta; Magnoliopsida; Malpighiales; Euphorbiaceae
Source: RNAcentral